UGGGGCUGGGGCUCAGUGGUAGAGUGUUUGCCUGGCACACAUAAGGCACUGGGUUCAAUCCUCAGCACCACAA
RNAcentral lists this transfer RNA (73 nucleotides) under Marmota monax (woodchuck). Its description in RNAcentral is "tRNA.Ala". It matches the Rfam family "tRNA". Rfam says of the family: Transfer RNA (tRNA) molecules are approximately 80 nucleotides in length. Lineage: Eukaryota; Metazoa; Chordata; Mammalia; Rodentia; Sciuridae. The record is from RNAcentral.